Molecule: ribosomal RNA, 253 nt
Filed under: uncultured bacterium
Lineage: Bacteria
Description: partial 16S ribosomal RNA
Rfam family: Bacterial small subunit ribosomal RNA
Source: RNAcentral
GACGAACCGUGCGAACGUUGUUCGGAAUCACUGGGCUUAAAGGGCGCGUAGGCGGGCUGACAAGUCUGGGGUGAAAUACCGCGGCUCAACCGUGGAACUGCCUUAGAUACUGUCGGGCUCGAGGGAGGUAGGGGCGUGCGGAACUGUAGGUGGAGCGGUGAAAUGCGUUGAUAUCUACAGGAACUCCGGUGGCGAAAGCGGCGCGCUGGACCGCUACUGACGCUGAGGCGCGAAAGCUAGGGGAGCAAACGGG